AUAAGGCGGCCAUGAGACCCAACCCAGAGAAGCGUCGAGUUAUUUUUCUAAUAAAUCUUCCCCACCAUAACUAAUUUUACAAAUCUAACCCUUUUACUUGCAUUUCUAUCUUUAAAAAAAAAAAAAAAAAAAAAAAAAAACUCAGCUUUGUGCCCUGCAGCUGUAAUUAAAAGCCAUCAAUGCCGCUCUCAGUUUCAUGGGACAACCCAACGUUUAGAAUAAAAACGAGCCCUUUAACCCGGGAAAGUUACACGCAAGGACUCAGGCCACAAAACUAGUUAUUUAGCAGAACAAAAACCCUCUGUGUUCACAACCUCCUCUGAGGCAAAGUAACCGUCUGAAAAUCCCAGAGAGAGAGAGAGAAAAAAAAAGGGAGUUUUUUUGGGUCGGCCCCUUCUUCCCGUCCUGUAGCGGUGGAGGAAUGCUCCAGGCCUGGGCAGAUCGGGCUUCACUCCGCUGAGAGGUGUGAGCGCGAGGGAGUAUGCCUCCAUCUCUGUGGCCAAACCGGAAUGGUGGCAUUCCUCCUAAACACAAGUGCUGCAUGAACAGGGCGAAGUUUAUGCCCAGCUAAACAAGGAAUCAAAGAGUUUUUCCAGAAUGAAUCGGCGCCACUAAGCGUCACUCAAAAACAGAAAAACAAUUAGCCAUUACAGCAAAUUAGCAAGCGAUUCUCCACACAGCUACGCCUGUUUUUUUUUUAAAAAACAGGCACGACAUUUUUAAAACCAUAUUAGGGUAUACUGCGAUUUUAUGCUAGCCAAUCAGAUUUUGAGGACAUUUUUUGAACGCAUGAAGCAAAUUCCUUUGGCUCCAGAUGACAAACCAGGACCUGGCUGACAAUGAACAAAGCCCUGCAUCCUCCCCUGAAUGAAACUAAUAAUAGUAGUUUAAAAAAAGAAAAAGAUGAUUCAACAACCACGUGGUGGUCUCCAAGAUGUGACUCGGAUGUGAAAAGUGCGCUCUGAGGACGGGGCCCGGCCGCGAGCAGAAGCCGACAAAAACAUUACCUCACUGGCCGUCCCUCGUCCUGCUGCGACCCUCGGCAGAGACAGGCCGGGGGCUUAAGUGCACGGAGCAAAGGGCGCAGAUGGCGGCGGACAAAUGUGAGCCGUCGCGCUGGCCGCGCAGAAGAAUGGGGGAUCUGUUACCGGCGGGUACCAAACGGUGGUGAUAAAUCCUGCGCCGUGCCACAAAAAGGGGUUUGGAGCGUCAGGCUCCAAAAGACAGUUGGCCUUUCUGUGACAGCUGGACGGUGAGCGGGAGGAGGACAAAAACCCCUCAACUAAACGCUCUCCUCACCUGCCCAAGUGGAGAGAAACCAGAAAGACUGCCAAUACU
This is a long non-coding RNA of Fundulus heteroclitus (mummichog), 1338 nucleotides long. RefSeq lists it as uncharacterized. The transcript has 2 exons. The record is from RefSeq and is a predicted model, not a curated record. Lineage: Eukaryota; Metazoa; Chordata; Actinopteri; Cyprinodontiformes; Fundulidae.